UAACCGGUUGAAGUCCGGUGCGGGGAAUUAUCGGUUCACCCCGUUAGCGAAGAUCCGGUUUUGAGAGGCGACUCUCAAGGCUAAGCGGAUCGAGAAAACUCCAGUACAAAGGGAAGGAGGUAAGAGAAAGGGCACGCAGAGCGGAGGAUCGCAAACUCACAGGCCGUACCAGCC
Molecule: non-coding RNA, 174 nt
Organism: Deltaproteobacteria bacterium
Lineage: Bacteria; Pseudomonadati; Myxococcota; Myxococcia
Source: Rfam